GAUGAACGCUAGCUACAGGCUUAACACAUGCAAGUCGAGGGGCAGCACGAGGUAGCAAUACUGAGGUGGCGACCGGCGCACGGGUGAGUAACACGUAUCCAACCUGCCGUUUACUCUUGGAUAGCCUUCUGAAAAGGAGAUUAAUCCAAGAUAGUAUCAUGAGAUCACCUGUUCACAUGAUUAAAGAAUUUCGGUAAACGAUGGGGAUGCGUUCCAUUAGAUAGUAGGCGGGGUAACGGCCCACCUAGUCUACGAUGGAUAGGGGUUCUGGUAGGAAGGUCCCCCACACUGGUACUGAGACACGGACCAGGGUCCUACGGGAGGCAGCAGUGAGGAAUAUUGGUCAAUGGACGCAAGUCUGAACCAGCCAAGUAGCGUGAAGGAUGACGGUCCUAUGGAUUGUAAACUGCUUUUGUACAGGAAGAAACACUCCCUCGUGAGGGAGCUUGACGGUACUGUAAGAAUAAGGAUCGGCUAACUCCGUGCCAGCCGCCGCCGUAACAC
This 504-nucleotide ribosomal RNA is filed under the name uncultured bacterium. RNAcentral describes it as "bacterial SSU rRNA". It matches the Rfam family "Bacterial small subunit ribosomal RNA", at positions 28 to 526 of the family's 1533-position model. The record is from RNAcentral.